CCGAGGUCCAAGACGUGCCCCAUGUGUGAACUGCGCCAUCAAAGCCAAGCAUGGGCGAGAAGUAUCCUUGGGACAGUAUCUAAUUCGCUUUCGGGAAAACUUAUGAGAACUGCAGUGUUUUACCAUUCCCGGCAGUACUGACUCUCCGUUGGGUUGGGGGCAUUAUAGUUAGCGAUCACAACCCUCGACUAGUUUGUUGCUUUGUAAAUCUUCCUCUCCUUAAUCCACAUUCCGAAGCUUAUUGACUAUGGGCUCUCUUGAAAUGGUUUCGUGGUGGUAGUACUUCUGCAUGAUCUUAAACAUAUCUUAGUAGUCGAAUUCAUUGUUAAUUAGUAUAUUGAGCUUAUUCACUUGUGAUUGUCUAGCGUUAAGCAUUCUAUGAAUUCAAUUGGUAUGUUGUCAAGGUUGGAAACAUGUGCAAUCUCGUUGAGUCGCAUGUAUAACAUAACCAUUAAAGUUUUACAAGCAUUAGUUAAAAUGUCAGAAAUCUCUGCAACCUUGACAACUUCUAUGCCUAGCAUAGCAAGUAAACUGCAUGUAGGUGUUUCUCAUGCCAUGAAUUGUGACUGGCCCCAACCCUCAGAGGCCGCUAGUAAGAUUUUGGUUGUGGUGAAUAAUGUUUGAUGUCUAGUAAGCAUUUUUUUUGUUGGCUCUGGUCUUGAUAAACAUGUUCUUGAUAAACCUGACCCUGGAAGGUAAUUUUGAUUUUGUUCAAGAAAUUGCAGAAACAAAAUUAUGAUAUGAACAUAAAAUAUCAGAUUACUCUAGAUUCCUCCCUUGCUUCAUUACUGAGAUCUUGUUGAUUCUUCUUAUUGACAUUUAUUAUAUCCAUCAGUUUCCAGGUUGUCUUUUCUUUUUUACCAAUGUAUUUGUUGGUAGUGCAUCAUUGUAUUGGCCUGCUGCAGGGCCCUUCAAGAUCGAUGGAAGACUUAUGCUGUUCCCCAUCGUCAUGAAGACUAAGAACCAAAGGGAAAUUCUUUGAACCAUAGGAGACUCUGUCUGCGAUGGGCUCUACCGGAAACUCCUGCCAUUGAUCGAAGCCAACGAAGCUGUUCCAGACGUGUUCAGCCCAACCUCGGUGCCAGGUUUUCUCUGUACCACAUGAACUUGUCUUCUAUAUGUGAGAAAUAAGAUAUCUCAAGGCCUCAACUUAAUGAUUAAUGAUGCAAGUGGACAUGUUCCUAUUAGCAUUUUCCUAUUCUUGCAACAUUUAGUUUGUCAUUUGUGUUGCGAUGAUAAAGAUAGAGGACAUGUUCUGUCUCUCUUAGUGGUAUAUUAUCUUUGAGAUUCCUUCA
Long non-coding RNA from Musa acuminata AAA Group (dessert banana), 1295 nucleotides. RefSeq lists it as uncharacterized. NCBI's taxonomy places the organism in Eukaryota, Viridiplantae, Streptophyta, Magnoliopsida, Zingiberales, Musaceae. The record is from RefSeq and is a predicted model, not a curated record. The transcript is spliced from 4 exons.